RNAcentral lists this non-coding RNA (25 nucleotides) under Mus musculus (house mouse). Lineage: Eukaryota; Metazoa; Chordata; Mammalia; Rodentia; Muridae. The record is from RNAcentral.
UAGAAUUUCCGGUCUGGUCACACUC